AGUGAACGCUGGCGGCAGGCCUAACACAUGCAAGUCGAGCGGAUGAAGGGAGCUUGCUCCUGGAUUCAGCGGCGGACGGGUGAGUAAUGCCUAGGAAUCUGCCUGGUAGUGUGGGAUAACGUCCGGAAACGGGCGCUAAUACCGCAUACGUCCUGAGGGAGAAAGUGUGGGAUCUUCGGACCUCACGCUAUCAGAUGAGCCUAGGUCGGAUUAGCUAGUUGGUGGGGUAAAGGCCUACCAAGGCGACGAUCCGUAACUGGUCUGAGAGGAUGAUCAGUCACACUGGAACUGAGACACGGUCCAGACUCCUACGGGAGGCAGCAGUGGGGAAUAUUGGACAAUGGGCGAAAGCCUGAUCCAGCCAUGCCGCGUGUGUGAAGAAGGUCUUCGGAUUGUAAAGCACUUUUAGUGGGGAGGAAGGGCAGUAAGUUAAUACCUCGCUGUUUUGACGUUACCAACAGAAUAAGCACCGGCUAACUUCGUG
This 484-nucleotide ribosomal RNA is filed under the name uncultured bacterium. RNAcentral describes it as "partial 16S ribosomal RNA". It matches the Rfam family "Bacterial small subunit ribosomal RNA", at positions 29 to 507 of the family's 1533-position model. The record is from RNAcentral.